ACAUUCUUAAUAAAAUACUAGCAAACUGAAUUCAGCCACACAUUAAAAAGAUGAUUCAUUACAACCAAAUAGGAUUUAUCCCAGGCAUGCAAGGAUGGUUUAACAUAUGCAAAUCAAUUAAUGUGAUGCAUCAUAACAACAUAAUGAAAGAUAAAAGCUAUAUGAUCAUUUCAAUUGAGACUGCAGGGGUAGAAGUCUAGGCUCCCCACUCAGCUUUUGCUAGCAUGAGUGAAGGUGAGCCACAGAUUUUUGUGUAGCGCAUGGCUGUGGUAGAGUGGCUAUUUUCUGUAAGUUUUCUGUCUUGCUAGAAUUCUUUUUUUGUUGUUGUUACUUGUCUAGGGAAAGCAUGCUUUUUGACAUUUAAAAAAAUCUGUACCCAUUGGCAUGUUCAUAUUGUCAAAUUCUUUUGAUCCAAGUCAAGGAUAUAUAGGAUAAAUGAAACUCCAGAAAACUCAGCGUCCUGUUAUUCCUUGUUUCGUGGGUUCCUCGGUGCCUAGCCAUCUUGCUGUCCUCUGUUCAAAUUUCAGAAUCUUAUGUUUAUUUUACAUAUAAUGUCAAGGUUAUUUGUGUUCAUUGCAGGAGAAAUAGGGGAAAUUAGAUUUUAUCCAUCUUCCUGGAAUUAGAAUUAUGAUGGUUGAAUUUCUUUUUUUUUUUUUUUUUUUUUUUUUUUGAGAUGGAGUCUCGCUCUGUCGCCCAGGCUGGAGUGCAGUGGCGCCAUCUCGGCUCACUGCAAGCUCCGCCUCCCGGGUUCAGGCCAUUCUCCUGCCUCAGCCUCCCGAGUAGCUGGGACCACAGGCGCCUGCCACCACGCCCGGCUAAUUUUUUGCAUUUUUUAGUCUCGAUCUCCUGACCUCGUGAUCCGCCCGCCUCGGCCUCCCAAAGUGCUGGGAUUACAGGCAUGAGCCACCGUGCCCGGCCCAAUGGCUGAAUUUCUAACAGAAAUAAUGAAAAACAGAAAGGAAAGAUUUUUAUUGUGUUUUUUUAUUUUUCAGAAUAUUAUCAUAUGCACUAUUUUAAAUGCUGUAUAUGAAACCUUUUUUAAUUAAGCAGAGAUUUGUUUGUCUUACAAGGAGGUGAAAGAAUAAGGGUAAUUGACUCCAUUAAGAUCAUAGUUGGUUAUGUACAGAUGAGAAUCAUUUUAAUAAAUAUU
RNAcentral lists this long non-coding RNA (1150 nucleotides) under Homo sapiens (human). RNAcentral's name for it is "non-protein coding lnc-FLRT2-4:1". The record is from RNAcentral. Lineage: Eukaryota; Metazoa; Chordata; Mammalia; Primates; Hominidae.